GCAUCUGUAGUAAAAAUUAUUACAUUUGUUUUCCACACUUAAAGUCCUAGUAUUAGGUUGAUGCA
This 65-nucleotide transfer RNA is filed under the name Geukensia demissa (ribbed mussel). RNAcentral describes it as "tRNA-Gly". Lineage: Eukaryota; Metazoa; Mollusca; Bivalvia; Mytilida; Mytilidae. The record is from RNAcentral.